This is a long non-coding RNA of Dromaius novaehollandiae (emu), 649 nucleotides long. RefSeq lists it as uncharacterized. The record is from RefSeq and is a predicted model, not a curated record. Lineage: Eukaryota; Metazoa; Chordata; Aves; Casuariiformes; Dromaiidae. The transcript has 2 exons.
UUGGGAGGGGGAGGACGCGGCGGGGCGGGGCAGGGCAGCGGGUAGCCGCUGGGGGCGCGUGACGCGGCCGGGAGCCAGGAACCAGGAGCCGGCGCAGAGCCCGCGGCGCCGACCUGAAACGGCCCCGGGGCGCUUCCACGGCGGAGCGUUGCAGAGCCGCUGCGCCACGAGCAUCGGCCCCAACCAGGGCCCUGGGUCCAGGUACUUCUGAAUUACAAAGAAGAAUCUGCUGGUUCUCCCUCCUGUUCCAGCUGACUGCAUCCACACCUGUUAGAUAUAUUCAACACCAACUCAGCAGCGGCAGCAUGCUUUACCAGUCCUGACUAACAGUUGCUAAAUUCAGCCUUCUGUCUUUUCUGCCUUUUUGCUUUUUGUUUGCAAGAGGUAACACUUCUGCUUCUUACAGACUUACAGAUUUUCUCAUAACCUUUUAAACAAUAAAACUUACCUAUAAACUCAAGUGCAGUAAACAGAAAUAAGAAAAACAGUUUAUAAAUGUUGUUACAGUGGUUAACUAAGGCAAGGGAUUCAUUCUUUGUAAGGAUUCAGAAUAUACUCCCUGAAGUUCAACAGUUCCUUACUGUUGUCAUGCUUUGCACAUAAAGCAUAUUACAAAUUUCACCAAAAUAAAACAGGCUGUUACUCCAAA